AAGGUUUUAUUUUACUUAUUUUAUUUUUUAGAUUUAUUUAUUUGUUUUAGGGAGAGACAGCACAAGUGGGAGGGGCAGAGGGAGAGAGACUCUCAAGCAGACUCCUCGCUGAGUGGAGUCCAACUUGGGGCUCGAUCUCACGACCCUGAGAUCACAACCUGAGCCGAAACCAAGAGUUGGACACUCCACCGACUGAGCCCCCCGGGCGCCCUUGAAACUAGGAAAUUUUAAAAAGAGGAAAAGUGAGUUAGGAAAGUCAGCCGCCUUGUCACUGUCUGGGGGCUGGACUCGUGGCGGUGUGUGCCAGAGACACGGGCGGACAGGGUGAGCCACGUGUGUGCGUGGAGACAUCGCAUCAGGUGAUGCUGGUGAGCAGAACCCGUGGAAGGACACAGCGUGCCCGUGGACGUGCUCUGAGUGACAGGUGACUUGUGCGCUGUCUGGACGCAGUAUGACAGCGUGUGAGUCCUGAGUGACAGGUCCCAUGUUGGCGGGCUUGCUCACGCGGGCAGGGAGGCGGCAUCUGGGCAGGAGGUGACUAGGGGUGAUGGCCACAGUGAUAUUUGGGGGGCAGUGUCUGGGGUGAUGCCAAGGGCAAAGAGUUAGGGUGAUGCUUGGCAGUGAUGUCCAGUGGGCUGGGGGGCAGUGUUGGGGCUUGAUGUCAGGGGCUGAUGUCUGGGGGGUGAUGCUGGGGGGCGAUGUUGGGGUGAUCGGGGGUGAUGUCCGGGGCACAGGGCAUCCGUGUGGCCAUGCUAACUGCCCUGUCCCCCCCUGCAGCCUGCCUGUCCCGCUUCAACGCCCUGUCUCUGGUCUACCUGCUGUUCCUGCUGCUGCUGCCGUGGUUCCCGGGCCCCUGUCGGCACGGCAUCCCAGGCCACACUGGUCGCCUCCUCCGGGCCCUGCUGGUUUUCACCCUCCUCUUCCUGGCAGCCCACCUGGCCUUCCAGAUAUGCCUGCACACCGUGCCCCGCCUGGACCAGCUUCUGGGGCCCAGCUGUGAGU
This 1002-nucleotide long non-coding RNA is filed under the name Ursus maritimus (polar bear). RNAcentral describes it as "lncRNA (ENSUMAG00000008315.1)". Lineage: Eukaryota; Metazoa; Chordata; Mammalia; Carnivora; Ursidae. The record is from RNAcentral.